This is a long non-coding RNA of Quercus lobata, 2658 nucleotides long. RefSeq lists it as uncharacterized. The record is from RefSeq and is a predicted model, not a curated record. The transcript has 2 exons. NCBI's taxonomy places the organism in Eukaryota, Viridiplantae, Streptophyta, Magnoliopsida, Fagales, Fagaceae.
AAUGCAGAAUCAUUCACGCAUCAACAACGCCUCUGGUUUUCCUCUCUACUCUAUCUUGUCUCAACGCUAAAGCCUCUCCAGCUCUGUCUCAACGCUAAAGCCUCUCCAAUCCAACCUCAAAUCCACAUCCAAUCCAACUCAGCGGCGCUUCUUCCGUCUCUCUGCCCUUUUGUUUGAAGUUUCCACCGUUUAUCGAAUCUAAAAUCUCACUACGUCUCAUCCUUAUUCUUUAAUUUUCCAUAUGGGUUUUUUAACUGUUGCCAUUUGUUCUCUAUAUGGCUGAAUUGUUAUUAAUUUUGUUUUGUUUUGUUUUUGUUUACCUUUUGGUUUUGCAGGGUUGCUAGGAACAAAACCAAUCUAUUAUUCCUUUUGGUACAUAGCAAGUUCAUAGUAGGUUGAACAAUUUGGGUUUUUUUUAUCUGGCUUGGCAAGGUAAACCCCUUACAAUCAGAUGAUGUUUGCAUGUCUUAAUUAUAUCUUACUACGUUGAGAGUAUCGUGGCAAUGGAGGACUUAUGUGUGACCAAUAUCUAUUCUACAUUGGAAACUAAAUUGAUGGGAUUGGUUACAUUGCCAUUCGCAAUAUCGGUGGCAGUUAGUUUAUGCAAUCAAUGAUUGAUUCUGUUGUUUAGUCUAUGGUAUGUUAAUUUUUUAUCUUGUUGGUAGAAUAAAAGGCAUAUAGGAACAGAAAAAGUGGAGUUAGAUAGUGUCUAGCAAUGUGUCCAAAAAUAUUGCCAAUGAUCUGGACAAGCCAUGAACUUAGCCAAAUGUGGACUACUCUUUGCUCCAAGGAAUGUGAGUAAUGGCAUGGUGAACAAGCUUUUGUCAAAGGUCUGGUUUCAAAAGACUUGGUGCCAAUUUGAAAAAUCUUGGGUCUCCUCUAUUCUUAAACCAGAUUAGAAGCAAAGGAUUUUUAGUUUUUCAACCAAAAACUAGAAGCAAGCUAAGUGGUUAAGCCAAUAAGUGUCUUUCCUGAGAUGGCCGUGUCACUAUGAUUAAGUCAAGUUAUAGCCUCAAGCUAUUUCCCUCUACCUUCAAAGUUAUCAUCUCUGCAUUGUUGGCAAAAAUCAGUUGGAUGAUUGCUGUUAUAGGGAUCAUUAUUUGAGUAUCUGAGUAAAUUUAUUACUUAUACUCUUAUAUACUUGGAUGAAACAUUUGGAGCAAAAUAUUUUUGAUUUAAAAAAUGAAUUUUUUAUUUGGUUUUUCAAUUACAAUUAAUUGGUUGACCACUGUAGAAUUUUUUUAGGUUGCAGGUACAUGACUAGGAAGCUGCUUUUGAAGUUGGGUACCAUUAGAUUCAUAGCAACAAAUCAUACCAUAAUUUCAGCUCUGAACUAUAUCUUUAAAUAGAAAAACAUUUUCCACUUUUUAUCUGACUGUCUAUGAAAUGAAUCUUUAUACUUAUCGUAGUCACUCUUGUGUACUCAUUUCUUUUGGAUUAUGGUAUUUUACACUGCCUAAUAGCAGCAACGACUGCAAUGGCAACCCAACCUAGUGGCUGAAGUGAUGCUUGAAUGGUGAAAAUGCCCUUGGGGGACAAGAUUGAGUAGCCUAACUCCUUGUUUCAUCUUUUCAUUUUAUGGAAAUUGAUUUAUAUCAAAGUUUUUGUUGUGCUUGUGGUUGGAGAAGAACACCUACUCUAAUAGAUGUACACUUGUAUUAUUGUGAUGGAAUUUGGAGUUGAUUAGACAUGCAGCCCUCUUGUCCACAUUAGCUGCCAUAUUUGUUAUUUUUUAGGGUCUAUCCUGAUUGAGUUCAUUUACUUGAUAUAAAUUUUUUUAUUUAUCUUAGUUUUGGUUAAAUGUGGAAUCAAUUGGAAAAAAGAAUUAUCUUUUCUUUUUUCUAAGAUCUAAUCAUAUUAGCUUCUACCCCUCUCUUUGCAUCUGCAUUCUUUUAAUAAGUGAAGGAUAGAAGUUAAAUAAGUAAUGACUAAUGAACAAUGUAUGCAACUAAAAACAUAUAUACAGAUACAUGUCAAUUGUUUUGGUUAAACUUCAUUUUUUGGUUACUGUUAUCACAUUAUUAGUUUUUGGAAUAGAGUUACUAGAUUGGAGUUGGUAUUAAGUUCAUCUUGUUACCACUAGUUCUUUUUAGUUGCUUGCUUUAUGUUUUCUAAUAUAAAAAACUCUUUGAGUACCGAUCUUAGAAGCAAACCCUGAGUUCUUAGUCAUGUGGCUUAAUGGUUAGAAAUUUUCUGUUCUAAGUUCUGUUUUUAUUUUUAUUUUAUUUUAUUUUUUCAUUUUUCAGCUGCUAACCAAAACAAUAUUUUUAUGGAACUAUGACAUGAACAAUAUUUUUAGUCACUUCCUUUUUGCUUGUCUAAUGUUUUCUGUUUUUCAUUUCAGCUAGUGCUUAUAUACCUGGAGCACUAGAUUUGAUGACUGACUUACUUCACAACCUCCAAUAUAAGACUAUGAAUUAUGGUUUCCAUAUGACAAUUACAAAAUGGGAUGAAGUUGUUUCAAAAGAAAUGGAAAUCAUGGUUAAGGAAAAAGGUUGCUUUUCUUAUAUUUUCUGUUUGUAUUGUACGGAUUUCAUCUUACAUUGGACCUUUGUGAACACUUCUUUAAUUUCCUUUUUGUCCAUUUCACGUGAAAUCUAUUUAAGUUUUCAUGUAUGUGCCAACUUAUAGGUAUAAACUCUUUCAAGUUCUUCAAAA